CUUCUUGUCAACGCCUCGUUCACCGCCCCCAGUGAAUCGUCUGGUCGCUGCUUCCUCUUUCACCUCCGAUAUGCCUCCGCCUCCACCUCCACCUACACCUCAUAUUCCUCUUCCUUCUUCUCUGCCUUUCUUUAUCUCUUCCUCCUACCCCGUCUCAUCUUCCUUCUCCGCUCCACAUAUUCCUGCCCCUAUGCAAGUCCUCCUCGCUCCUUUUCCCCCCUUUCUUGGUCUGGAAAGCAUCGGUCCAUACCGAGUGUCAGGAUAUUGAUCUGUAUCGAAAGCGUACUAGUUUGGCCGCUUAUCGGUAUUGACACCAGAUAACAAAAUUUUAAACCUUGAAUUACAGUCCGCAGUCCAGCUCUUCCGCAAUUACUGCUUUCUCGAAGAACUCGGUGAAGUAUGGUUCUUUUAGCAGGAUUCUCCUGCUCGAAGGACCACUGACGAAACUGCUAUUUAGAAUCUUGUUGGAAGGACGAGUAGUGCUUGUGUUUGGCCUUGAGCCAAAUGAAUUCUCAUGUUCUGCUGUAAUCUGAGUUUGCACUUUUUUUCUUUCCUGCAGAGAGAAAAGAUGUUAUUGACAAUCCGGAACAAAUCAUCUAAACAAGGGGUUAAAAAUUGUUUGCUCUUCAGAACAAUCCUUUGCAGAACUUCUUUAGAUAUUCUUGUAUCCUUCAUCGAAUUGCACUAGAACUUACUCUUUGCCUUUGUUUCUCCUCCUCUUUUUCUUGCUUUAACAGAGUGUACUCUUUAAGCAUUGCCAUUAGAGGUACCUGUAAUUUUAUAAAGAUUGAUUAUAUAUGGGAUGAAAAAUUUCAGUU
Musa acuminata subsp. malaccensis (wild Malaysian banana) is the source of this 818-nucleotide long non-coding RNA. RefSeq lists it as uncharacterized. The record is from RefSeq and is a predicted model, not a curated record. Lineage: Eukaryota; Viridiplantae; Streptophyta; Magnoliopsida; Zingiberales; Musaceae.